GUCCCCUUCGUCUAGCGGUUAGGACGUCGCCCUCUCACGGCGGCAACAGGGAUUCGAAUUCCCUAGGGGACGCCA
Molecule: transfer RNA, 75 nt
Filed under: Holosporaceae bacterium
Lineage: Bacteria; Pseudomonadati; Pseudomonadota; Alphaproteobacteria; Holosporales; Holosporaceae
Description: tRNA-Glu
Rfam family: tRNA
About the family: Transfer RNA (tRNA) molecules are approximately 80 nucleotides in length. Their secondary structure includes four short double-helical elements and three loops (D, anti-codon, and T loops).
Source: RNAcentral